This 78-nucleotide microRNA precursor is filed under the name Schistosoma curassoni. RNAcentral's name for it is "mir-3492 microRNA precursor family". It matches the Rfam family "mir-3492 microRNA precursor family". Lineage: Eukaryota; Metazoa; Platyhelminthes; Trematoda; Strigeidida; Schistosomatidae. The record is from Rfam by way of RNAcentral.
AACCUUUCGAAACUGUGCUGAGAUUUCGUCAGACACCAACCCAUUAGGGCUGAUCAGACUUCCAAGGUAAGUGAAGUU